Molecule: ribosomal RNA, 449 nt
Filed under: uncultured bacterium
Lineage: Bacteria
Description: partial 16S ribosomal RNA
Rfam family: Bacterial small subunit ribosomal RNA
Source: RNAcentral
AACGAACGCUGGCGGCAUGCCUACCACAUGCAAGUCGAACGAAGCCUUCGGGCUUAGUGGCGCACGGGUGCGUAACGCGUGGGAAUCUGCCCUUUGGUUCGGAAUAAUAGUUGGAAACGACUGCUAAUACCGGAUGAUGACGAAAGUCCAAAGAUUUAUCGCCAGAGGAUGAGCCGGCGUAGGAUUAGCUAGUUGGUGUGGUAAAGGCGCACCAAGGCGACGAUCCUUAGCUGGUCCGAGAGGAUGAUCAGCCACACUGGGACUGACAAACGGCCCGGACACCUACGGGAGGCAGCAGUGAGAAAUAUUGGACAAUGGGCGAAAGCCUGAUCCAGCAAUGCCGCGUGAGUGAUGAAGGCCCUAGGGUUGUAAAGCUCUUUUACCCGGGAUGAUAAUGACAGUACCGGGAGAAUAAGCCCCGGCUAACUCCGUGCCAGCCGCCGCUGUAA